This 1760-nucleotide ribosomal RNA is filed under the name Piona sp. HP-Hyd002. RNAcentral's name for it is "SSU rRNA". It matches the Rfam family "Eukaryotic small subunit ribosomal RNA". Lineage: Eukaryota; Metazoa; Arthropoda; Arachnida; Trombidiformes; Pionidae. The record is from RNAcentral.
UCAUUAAAUCAGUGAGAAUCAGUUGAAUAAGAGCGUGUUACACGCAUAACUGUGGCAAAUCUAGAGCUAAUACGUGCAACUUACCCGGUUCGCUUCGGCGAUAAAGGGCGCACUUUAUUAGACCAAAAUCAAUAGGGUGAAAGCCCUAUCUGAUGGUGACUCUUGAUAACUUGGCAGAUCGCAUGGCCUCUGAGCCGGCGAUAUGUUCAGAGACUAACUGCCUUAUCAACUAGAUGGUAGUUUCAAUGCCUACCAUGGUUGUAACGGGUAACGGGGAAUCAGGGUUCGAUUCCGGAGAGGGAGCCUGAGAAACAGCUACCACAUCUAAGGAAGGCAGCAGGCACGCAAAUUACCCACUCUUAGCACGAGGAGGUAGUGACGAAAAAUACCGGUGCAGAACUACAAUGAUAGUCUCUGUAAUCGGAAUGAGUACGAUCUAGAUACUCUAACGAGGAUCUAUUGGAGGGCAAGCCUGGUGCCAGCAGCCGCGGUAAUUCCAGCUCCAAUAGUAUAUACUUAAGUUGCUGCGGUUAAAAAGCUCGUAGUUGGAUCUCAGUUUACUUGUUGUUGUUUGGUGUGUGUAUCUCUUCGGAGAUCUCACAACUCUCAUCACUUGUAUUCUAUACAAAGGGUUAGCGAACGUGUGCAUCCUUCACCGGGUGCCUCUAGUAGCCUUCCCAAUGUUUACUUUGAACAAAUUAGAGUGCUCAAAGCAGGCAUACUUUCGAGUGUUGCCAAGGCAUAUACAUGCAUGGAAUAAUGAAAUAGGACUUCAGUGUUCUUUUUCGUUGGUUUUCGGACCUGAAGUAAUGAUUAAGAGGGACAGACGGGGGCAUAAGUAUUGAGGCGCGAGAGGUGAAAUUCGUAGACCGUCUCAAGACUACCAAAAGCGAAAGCAUUUGCCAAGAAUGUUUUCAUUAGUCAAGAACGAAAGUUAGAGGUUCGAAGGCGAUUAGAUACCGCCCUAGUUCUAACCAUAAACGAUGCUAACCAGCGAUCAGGAGUGUAGUGUCUACUUGAUGCUCUCCUGGAAACUUCCUGGGAAACCAAAGUGUUUGAGUUCCGGGGGAAGUAUGGUUGCAAAGCUGAAACUUAAAGGAAUUGACGGAAGGGCACCACCAGGAGUGGAGCUUGCGGCUUAAUUUGACUCAACACGGGGAAGCUCACCCGGUCAGGACACUGUAACGAUUGACAGAUUGAGAGCUCUUUCUUGAUAUAGUGGUUGGUGGUGCAUGGCCGAUCUUAGUUCGUGGAUUGAUUUGUUGGGUUAAUUCCGACAACGAACGAGACUCUGACUUAUUAACUAAGGUGCGAGGGUGCUUUCUAACCUUGCCUGUAACAGGGCAUAACUUGAGAGUUUCUCCGAGUACUCUAACUUCUUAGAAGUAUAUGUGUUCGAUGAAAAGACACACGAGAGAGAGCAAUAUCAGGUCUGUGAUGCCCUUAGAUGUCCGGGGCUGCACGCGAGCUACACUGAAGAGUGAAGCGAGCAGAGAGUGCAAACCUACUGUGAAAACAAGUGGGUAACCAUAGGAAUCCUCUUCGUACUGGGGACAAGGCAUUGUAACUAUGCCUUCGAACGAGGAAUUCCGAGUGAGCGUGGGUCAUCAACAAGUGUUGAUUCAGUCCCUGCGCUUUGUACACACCGCCCGUCGCUACUACCGAUCGAGGGGUUAAGUGAGGUUUUCGGACCAUUCAUGCACAAACUGACUUCGGUCAGAGCGAGCUACGAGUGAGAAGUUGACCAAACUUGAUCAUUU